This 280-nucleotide long non-coding RNA is filed under the name Elaeis guineensis (African oil palm). RNAcentral describes it as "long non-coding RNA (EGUI_LNC004847)". Lineage: Eukaryota; Viridiplantae; Streptophyta; Magnoliopsida; Arecales; Arecaceae. The record is from RNAcentral.
GGGAUCAAGUCGCAUGCCAUUUUUGGAUUUGAUUGUUUGUAAAUUUUUUUUUAUCUCUAGAUUCUUAGUACAUACUCAUAUAUUUAAAAUUUAGAUUUUGUGUAUAGAAAUUAUUAAAAUAUUUAGAAAUCAAAAAGUUUGGAAAUAUGAAUUUUAUGCAUGAAAAGUAAUUUAAAAAUUAAGUAUCAAGCAUGGUGUCACCUUAGCAUGAUUACAAAAUCUGACAUGAGAUAAUUUCUUUUGUUUAAUGUUGCAUGAUUUUUAGAAACAAGAUUAUUCA